GGCGGCGUAGCUCAGUUGGCAGAGCACACGGCUCAUAAUCGUGAUGUCGCGGGUUCGAGUCCCGCCGCCGCUA
RNAcentral lists this transfer RNA (73 nucleotides) under Acidimicrobiales bacterium. RNAcentral describes it as "tRNA-Met". It matches the Rfam family "tRNA". Rfam says of the family: Transfer RNA (tRNA) molecules are approximately 80 nucleotides in length. Their secondary structure includes four short double-helical elements and three loops (D, anti-codon, and T loops). The record is from RNAcentral. Lineage: Bacteria; Bacillati; Actinomycetota; Acidimicrobiia; Acidimicrobiales.